UAGAAAAAGACUACUCACUCAAGCCUGGAAAACAAUCCGAAUCAAUUGCAAACAUCGGACUUUUAACAACAACUGGAUAACUAGAAAGAGCUGCAGUCAUUGUUUCCUGGCGGACCUUUUAAGCGACGGACACUUUGAUCCAGACAGGCGGCAACAAUCACAGCAAACCCAGCAGGGGGUCGCAGCUUACUGCGAGGUUUUGUUCUCCCAGGAUGCAGACGGACUAUUCCAAACAAGGCGUGCAGUUUCACAAAUUCCUCACCGUGGACUUAUUCAGUCUGUUCAGCUGAUUGGAAACCUAGCUUUCUACAGCUCAAGGGUCCAUGACCAUGACUUCUGUUUUUUGGGAUCAGCCGUUUGACUGCAGUGUU
Long non-coding RNA from Nerophis ophidion (straightnose pipefish), 371 nucleotides. RefSeq lists it as uncharacterized. The record is from RefSeq and is a predicted model, not a curated record. Lineage: Eukaryota; Metazoa; Chordata; Actinopteri; Syngnathiformes; Syngnathidae. The transcript has 3 exons.